Molecule: long non-coding RNA, 6199 nt
Filed under: Prunus dulcis (almond)
Lineage: Eukaryota; Viridiplantae; Streptophyta; Magnoliopsida; Rosales; Rosaceae
Description: sRNA ncRNA
Source: RNAcentral
GUUCUUUCUUCCCAGCCUCCCCCGCCACUCCAUCGCCAUCUAUCUUCACCCUUUUUCUUUUUCUUUCCCUUUCUUCCUUUCUUCUUCUUCUUUCUCAUUUUUUCUUCUCUUCUCUCCCUCCUCAUCACUUUCUUUCUCUGCAUUACCUAUAAGGGACUUUCACCGAGCACCAUGUGUGCACACAAAUGGUCGCUUCGCUGCUGUCCAAAGGGUCGCUCAUGGUGUCAACAACAGUAUUUCCAGCAUCCUAAGGGGUCGUGCAACUCCUCUUGUCCCAACGUGCGUUUGCCACUGGAGCGGGCCACAGGCGAAAGUCUGGGAGCAGGCGGGAGGGGUUUCCUCGGGCUGUGUUUCCUUAGACGGAAAGGAUGUUGCGGCAUCCAUGUUGUAGAAGAAGAAGAGGAGAAGAAGGAGGGUGAGGAUGAGAGAGAGGAGGAUUGGGUCCACUUUGGACGGGGGUUGGAGUGUUAUGGGCUUGCUGGUAAAUUCCAAUAGAGAUUAAAUAUAGGUUUGUUGAAGAACGCGUUGAUUAACUACAACUUGACUUGUGGUCUUGGGCUGUCGGUCGUCUCUGUUCUUUUUAUGUGGUUAUAAACGUAUGAAAUCUUCCCAGUUUUCUUUGACGAGUUAUAUUCAUUAGAGCAUCCGCGUGAGGCUCUCUAAUGGAGUAGAAAUAUAUGUUUAGGUAAAACUGAUUCAAUUCUAUUCAUCUCCAUAAUGAGCUAUUUAUAUGUUUACAUAGGGUUUUACAGGUUUAACAAGGAAAUAAAAUAAACUAGGAAACAAAGUCCUAAUUGUACAAGAAUUAGUCAACUACACUAAUUAGGAAAUCACUUUCCUGAACUCACGCACACGCCAACACUCCCCCUCAAUUUGGAGCAUAAAUGUCACCAAGGUCCAACUUGCUUAGCGUGUCCUGAAAUACUCGGCUUGAAACUGCUUUCGCCAAGAUAUCUGCCAACUGAUCUUCUGACUUUACAAACGGGAACUGAAGCAUCUUGUCUUCUAAUCAUUCUUUGAUGAAAUGCCUAUCCACUUCAACAUGUUUAGUUCGAUCAUGUUGAACUGGAUUAUAAGCAAUAUUAAUGGCCGCAAUAUUAUCACAAUAUAAUUUCAUGGGUUUUUUAGGCUUAAAACCUAUCUCCGUUAGAACAUGCUUAAUUCAUAACAACUCACAAACACCAUGUGCCAUACCUCUAUAUUCUGCCUCCACACUUGAUCUUGCAACAACAUUUUGUUUCUUACUACGCCAAGUAACAAGGUUACCUCCUACAAAAGUAAAGUAACCUGACGUGGAUCGUCUGUCUAUUUGGGACCCAGCCCAAUCCGCAUCUGUAUACCCAAUUACAUCCAGAUGUCCUUGCUUUGAAUACAUUAACCCUUUACCCAGAAUUGAUUUCAAAUAUCUCAAGAUGCGAGUCAUUGCAUCUCUAUGAACUUUACUUGGAGAGUGCAUAAACUGGCUUACAACACUCACAGCAUAUGCAAUGUCCGGUCUCGUAUGUGACAAAUAAAUUAACCUCCCAACUAGGCGCUGGUAUUGCUCCUUGUUAGUUGGUUUAUGAUCAGUACACUCACCAAGCUUGUGAUUUUCCUCCAUAGGCGUAUUAACUGGUUUAUACCCCAGCAUCCCUGUUUCAAUUAAUAAAUCCAUAACAUAUUUUCUUUGAGACAAGAAGAUACCUUGCUGUGAUCUAGAUACUUCUAUCCCGAGAAAAGACUUAAGUGUACCAAGAUCUUUCAUCUCAAACUCCUUAGAUAAGUACUCUUGCAAUGCUUUUCUUUCAUCAGGAUCAUCACCUGUUACGAUCAUAUCAUCAACAUAUACUAUCAAAGCUGUAAUUUUAUUUUCCUUAUGCUUCAAGAACAAAGUAUGAUCAAAAUUACUUUGUUUAUAUCCAAAUGCCCUCAUAGACUUUGUCAACCGCCCAAACCAUGCUCGAGGUGACUGUUUCAAACCAUACAAAGACUUCUUUAAUUUGCACACAUAGUGUUUCAAUUCGGAACUCAAGUUACAUCCAGGCGGAGGAUCCAUAUAAACUUCUUCUUCUAAAUAACCAUGUAAAAAGGCAUUUUUGACAUCGAAUUGGUGUAAUGGCCAAUCCAAGUUUGCAGCAAGUGAUAUCAGGAUUCGUACAGUAUUGAUUUUUGCUACUGGAGCAAACGUCUCCUGAUAAUCCACUCCAUAUCUCUGAGUAUACCCUUUUGCCACCAAUCGAGCUUUGUACCGUUCGAUCGAUCCAUCUGCCUUCAACUUUAUGGUAUAAAUCCAUCUACAACCCACAGUUCGUUUGCCACUUGGGAGAGGAACAAGUUUCCAUGUGGAAUUCUUUUGAAGAGCUUGCAUCUCAUCAUUCAUAGCUUGUUUCCAGUUUGGAUCCAUCAAAGCCUCUUCUACACUGCUUGGUGUAGACAAAGAAUCUAGUUGUUUGAUCAACAUGGCAUGUGGUGCGGACAAUCUAUGAGUGGAAACAUGGUUGCUAAUCGGGUACUUCACUUUAGCUUUGGGAUCCACUUCAUAUUGAAUCUUUGGGAUACCACGAUUCUUACGAACAGGUAAUUGGUAUGGUUGUAGAUGUAUCUCAUUAGAUGGAUCGUCUGAAAACAAAUCAGUUAAAUAUAAAUCUUCAACAUCAAUGUUCUGGGAUAUUACUUGGGUUGUAGGUUCAGAAGACACCUCAGAAGAUAAUUGGUUAAAUGGUACAGAAACUUCAGAAACGGGCAUCAAUACAUCAUUCUUCUCCCCCUAAAUGGGUGACUGAGUUAUGGGUGAGGAGACCAACCGUGACCGGUCAUCAAGACUGUCGUGCGUAGUUUCUGGAGUGGUAUCUGACGAGUUGGUUAGUGCAUCCUGAACUGUCGGAUGACAUAACGACUCCAAAGUAACGAAACCUUCCAGGUCGAACCGAUCAUCAACAGUAUCUGGACUCGCCAGUGCCUGAACUCCCCCCAAAAAAUACAUUUCUUCUUCUCCAAAAACCACAUCCAUAGUGAUGUAGAGCUUCUGAGUAGGGGAUGAUAGCAGCGAUACCCUUUUUGAUGUUGGGCAUAGCCAAUAAACACGCACUUGAGUGCUCGAGGCUCCAACUUGUUGCGCUGAUGUGUAUAAAGAUGAACGAAAGUUACACAUCCAAAAACUCGUGGCUCCAAAUUGGGAGUGAAAUGAAGGGCACAAAACUGACGAAGGGCUUGUAAUGGUGUUUGGAAGUUCAAGACACUAGAGGGAACCCGAUUAAUAAGAUACGCAGCAGAACACACUGCUUCUCCCUAAAAAGAACGAGGCAUUUGAGCAUCAAACAAUGAAGCUCGAACCACUUCUAACAAAUGACGAUUUUUGCGCUCUGCUACCCCAUUUUGCUGAGGAGUAUAUGGACAUGUUCGUUGAUGUUCAAUUCCAUGAGCUUCUAAAAACUGACAAAGAUCAUGAUUCACAAAUUCACCCCCAUUAUCAGAACGAAGGAUCUUCAUUUUUGCAUGAAACUAAGUGUCUACCAUCUUGUAAAACUGUUGAAAUGUGGUACACACCUCCCCCUUGGUUUUUAAGAGAGAAAUCCAAGUCAUACGUGUGCAAUCAUCAAUAAAGGUAACAAACCAACGAGCACCAGAAGAAGUAGAAAUUGGAGCAGGACCCCAAACAUCAGAAUGAACAAUUGCAAAAGGCACCGUACUUUUAUUCAUACUCAAAGUGAAGAAAACUCGAUGGCUUUUUGCCAGUUCACAAACAUCACACUUAAAAUUAAAAUCUGAAAGUUUACUAAACCAUGAAGGAAACAACUUUUUAAGAUAUCCAAAGGAGGCAUGACCCAACCGUCUAUGCCACAACCAAAUAAAAUUCUGAUUUUUCUCGGUCGGAUCUCCACUAGUCUUGAAGGCUUGAGAAAUCCGAGUCUCACCACUUGUUGCCAAAUCCAGAAAAUACAGCUUGCCCUUUCUAGUACCAUAACCAAUUAUCUUCCUUGUGAGGAUGUCCUGAAAAAUACAACAAUUUGGCCAAAACGUUACAGUACAAAAAAGAGCAUGAGUAAUUUGCGCAACAGAUAGCAAAUUAAAAUCCAAUGACGGCACAACAAGUACUGAAUCCAGGUGCAACGAAUCUGUAAGGGAUAAAGAACCCUCUCCAACAACAGGAGAGGAACUACCAUUUGCAUUGGAUACUACCGACUGUGAAGAUGGAGACAAAGAUGUGAUUUUAUUCGAAUCACAUGUCAUAUGAUCAGAGGCGCCUGAAUCAAUAAUCCAGACAUUACUGGUGGGUGAGGUGGAAGAAACAUUCAAUGCAUAACCAGUUGUACCUGAUGUAGCCAUGGACGCAGAUGCAGAAGUAUGUUCAUUUGAUUUGUUGCCACUUACAGGGGAGGUCUCUGGAGUAGCAGAGGCUUGGAGUGCCUUAUGACCAUUUCUUUUAUUCUUAGAAUGAUCCCACCAAGAUGGAAAGCCAACUAAUUCAUAACAAUGUUCACGAGUGUGCUUUGAACCACCACAAUGAGUGCACUUGAAAACUGGUUUGUCCUUCACCCCCUGGGUCGAGGAACUCCCAUGAGAUGAAGGUGGUCCUUUGGAACGUUGAGCCACCAUGACAGUAGCAUCAAGAGAGGCGGCAGCACCAGUAAAAUUGGCGCGUUGUUGUGCAUCACGGCGAACAUAAGCAAAACUUUGGUCGAGAUCCAAUUUAGGUUCCUUGCGGAGGAUUUCACUACGGACUUGAUCAAAUUCGGGAUCCAAUCCAGAAAGAAAAAUAUGAACUGAAGACGGUCGAGUUUUUUUUUUGGUAUGUAUCAGUGUCAGCAGUGCACACCAUAGAUGGGGGGUCGCGAUGAUCCAGUUCCUGAAAAAGACUCUGAAGCAUGCUAUAAUAUUUGGAAACAGGUUGGCCAUUCUGUUUGAGGGUGAAUGCCUUCCUGUUCAAUUCGUAAACUUGAGAUUCGUCGGAUCCAUCAUAGAAAACUUUCUUGACAGCAGCCCAAAUCUCCUUGGCAGUGCGAAGACGAAUAAAGCGGCCCAUCAACUCAGGGGACAUAGAAUCAAUUAACCAACCUUUGACUCGUAGAUUUUCAGUGGUCCAUGCAUCAAAAGUAGGAGCAGAUUCUGCUGGCAUAGAAAUAGAGCCAGUAAGAUAGCCCAACUUUCCACGGGUAGCAAUUCGAAUUUCCAUGAGUUGAGACCAAAGAGCAUAAUUGGUCUCAUUGAGAAUAACUCCUGUAGGCAACGCAGAAUUAUCAUUCUGGAUGGUGACAAUCUGUGGAACCAACGAAGUUGGAGGUUGUGCAACGGAGGUCGAAGAACUAUCCGGGAGAACAAGGGAAGCCUCGGGUGUUGUCAUCGCAGCGGAAAUUGAUGGUGUGGAAGUAUGAACUCAAUAUAUGUGGAGGAUGGAUGAAAAACUUAUGAACUCAAUAUAGGUUUGAAUUCAAUUAGAGGGUUUGGGAUAAACAAGAAACCACUAGAUCGGUGGCUCUGAUACCAAGUAGAAAUAUAUGUUUAGGUAAAACUGAUACUAUUCAUCUCCAUAAUGAGCUAUUUAUAUGUUUACAUAGGGUUUUACAGGUUUAACAAGGAAAUAAAAUAAACUAGGAAACAAAGUCCUAAUUGUACAAGAAUUAGUCAACUACACUAAUUAGGAAAUCACUUUCCUGAACUCACGCACACGCCAACGAAUGGGACAAAAGCUUGCAAUUUAUAUUCAUUAGCAGCAUGAAGGUAAAUAACAAGUUGUCUAAUGUGAAGAAAUUGUUGGAGGAAAAUAGGAAAUAUGAAUUUAAAGAUAAUAAUAUUUCUCAAUAAAAUUGUAAUCAUCAAAUACAAUAACAAAUUUACAUGAAAUUAAUGUAAAUUAACAAACACAAAUAGAAAAUACUGACAACUUUAGCGAUUGUGGCUUGUAAGAAUUGCAAUGUCUUAAACACAAAAUUCGCCAUUGCUCUUGUGCUCACAGUUCUAUAGGCGUCUAUCUCCCAAGAUUCAACAAUCGAUAAUCCUAAAUUGAAGCACUUCAAUUUAAGACUCUGGCGAAUGAUAAGUGCAUUGUUUCCUAUAUUUGUAUAUCUCUUAUAUUUGGUUUUUGUAGGGAAAAUUAACUAGAAAUAGCAUUAUUACCUUACUUUCCUUAUUUUCAGCUAUUAUGCGCUCUUGGAAGGGUUUUGACUGAAAAUCCACUUUUCGAAUGAAUUUUAGUGCAAGGCCAGGUGGAGAAGAAAGCUAG